This 465-nucleotide ribosomal RNA is filed under the name uncultured bacterium. RNAcentral describes it as "partial 16S ribosomal RNA". It matches the Rfam family "Bacterial small subunit ribosomal RNA", at positions 338 to 795 of the family's 1533-position model. The record is from RNAcentral.
CCUACGGGAGGCAGCAGUGGGGAAUAUUGCGCAAUGGGCGAAAGCCUGACGCAGCGACGCCGCGUGAGGGAUGAAGGUCCUCGGAGCGUAAACCUCCGUUUGUAGGGAAGUAAGUUCACUGAGCUGAUCCGCAGUGAAUUUACGGUACGUGCAAAGAAAGGACCGGCUAACUCCGUGCCAGCAGCCGCGGUAAGACGGAGGGUGCGAGCGUGAAUCGGAUUUACUGGGCGUAAAGCGGUCGUAGGCGGUAUGUCAAGUCAAGGGUGAAAUCCCCGCGCUCAACGUGGGAACUGCCUUUGAAACUGGCAGACUGGAGUGUGUGAGAGGAUAGUGGAAUUCCAGGUGUAGGAGUGAAAUCCGUAGAUAUCUGGAAGAACAUCAGUGGCGAAGGCAACUAACUGGCACAUAACUGACGCUGAGGAGCGAAAGCGUGGGUAGCAAACAGGAUUAGAUACCCUUGUAGUC